UUAUCUGGUCUCUUGUUUCAGUGCCUCUAGGGGAUCCACGUUCAGAAGCUGACUCUGCAGGCGAGACCAACGUUAUUUUCCCGGUGGCUGUGUUCAAAACCACCCAAAGGGUUUGAGAAAUACUUUAAGAGGAGUGGAAGGAACAAACUCAGAAACAUCAACAGCACCAAAAAAAGAGACUGGUGAACUAGAGAAUGCCGAGUCUGGAGGAGAUGGAGGCAGGAGAGGAGGGAAGCGGGAUGACGUUGCCUGGUGGAGGCGGAUGCAGAAGGGGACUUCUGCAAUCUGGCCCUUUUGGGGGCAGGCGUUGCCAUGGGAUUUUUCUACCUCUAUUUUCGAGAUCCUGGAAGAGAAAUCACUUGGAAGCACUUUGUAUAGUAUUACCUGGCCAGAGGUCUGGUGGACCAGCUGGAAAUCCUGAACAAUUUGUGCGUGUUAUUCCUGCCCCUGGGAUCUCUUCUGAAGUGAGGGGUGAAUUUAAGGCUGAGUAUUCCAGACAUAAGUUUAUUUCGUGUAAAAAUGUAGUUUUCUAUUUUUUUCAGUAAAAUACUCCCUUAGUGUCCAUC
RNAcentral lists this small RNA (566 nucleotides) under Pongo abelii (Sumatran orangutan). RNAcentral describes it as "retained intron". Lineage: Eukaryota; Metazoa; Chordata; Mammalia; Primates; Hominidae. The record is from RNAcentral.